Long non-coding RNA from Populus trichocarpa (black cottonwood), 1172 nucleotides. RefSeq lists it as uncharacterized. The transcript has 6 exons. The record is from RefSeq and is a predicted model, not a curated record. Lineage: Eukaryota; Viridiplantae; Streptophyta; Magnoliopsida; Malpighiales; Salicaceae.
ACUUUGAUCGACGAUCUCCUUUAUUUGGUAAUCAGGGUUUAAGCCUCAGGAGGAAGCAUUGAAUUCAGCAACAGGAAUCGAAUUGGUUUCCAUUUUUGGAAAUGGAAGGGAAGAAUCCAGUGAGGCUUACGUUGGGAAAGCAUUCUUCACUAGCUCCAGAGCGAGAACCAGAAGAAUCUGAUGUUGAUGUGGAAGGAAUUGAACCUGGAUUGAGGCUGAUGUAUUUAGCUAAUGAAUGAGGGAUAAAAGAGGUGUUGUUGUUGAAUUCUGAUGUGUGUUUGUUAAUUUUCCUGAUGUUGAUGAUCGUACUGCUCUUCAUAUUGCUGCUUGGCAAGGCUUUACUCAAGCUGUUUCCGAACUAAAGCAGGCCAAAUUGAUCUCAAAUAUCGCUGGGGCAACACUCUUCUUGCAGAUGCUAUAUAUAUUACAAAACCACGAUGUGAUUAAACUUUUGGAAAAACGUGGUGCUGGUGCAAAGCCUCUAAUGGCUCUUAUGCACGUGAGGUCCUGGAAUACGAAAUCAAUCCCGAUGAACUUGAUUUUACUAACAGUGUAGAAUUAACUAAGGGAACCUUUUGUAGCAUCAUGGCAAGGAAUUUAAGUUGCAGUUAAAAAGCUUGGUGAGGAAGUGCUUCGAGACAACGAUAAAUGACCAUUCAGAGAUGAACUUGCAUUGGUUCAGAAAAUACAGCAUCAAAAUGCGAUCCAGUUUCUGGGUGCUGUUACUCAAAGUUGUCCAAUGAUGAAUGUGACGGUAUAUUUGUCUAAGGUUGAUUGAGGAGUGCUGGCAUGAGAAUAAAGCUAAGCGACUGACUUUCAGGCAAAUACUAACAAGACUGGACACUGUUCAUAACAGCAUGGCUCACAAGAGGGCGGAAAGGUUUCUCCUCUCUCUGAAUAUGUGUGUGUGGUGAUGGUGUACUGUACUUGAAUGAGUAACCAAAAUUUUGACAUUACACUUUAUCUGACUACCUCUAAAGCCUGCUCCUUCAAAGAGCCAACCUUUUCUGUGUUGAAUGGCUUCAAUGCUUUAUUUUGUCCCUAGUGGAGUUAAUACAUUCCAGUUCUUUUCCUUUUCUUUUUCUGGGUUGUGUGGGUAGAAGUUGUGAUGAUAAAGCUUGGAAAUUGAUAAUUUACCCAAAUUAUAUGAAUUGAACCUUCUCUUGAGAGCU